Molecule: ribosomal RNA, 687 nt
Filed under: uncultured bacterium
Lineage: Bacteria
Description: partial 16S ribosomal RNA
Rfam family: Bacterial small subunit ribosomal RNA
Source: RNAcentral
UGUCAAGUCCGAACGCGGUUAGKAGCAAUMCURACUAGAGUGGCGAACGGGUGAGUAACGCGUGGGUGACCUACCUUCGARUGGGGGAUAACGUCCCGAAAGGGACGCUAAUACCGCAYRACAUCCUGCCUUUGAACAGGUGGAGAUCAAAGCCGGGGAUCGCAAGACCCGGCGYUUGRWGAGGGGCCCGCGUCUGAUUAGCUAGUUGGUGRGGUAAYGGCYCACCAAGGCGACGAUCAGUAUCCGGCCUGAGAGGGCGGACGGACACACUGGGACUGAGACACGGCCCAGACUCCUACGGGAGGCAGCAGUGGGGAAUUGUUCRCAAUGGGCGCAAGCCUGAYGACGCAACGCCGCGUGGAGGAUGAAGGUCUUCGGAUUGUAAACUCCUGUUGCUCGGGAAGAACAGCUCCGACCUAAUACGUCGGAGUCUGACGGUACCGGGUGAGGAAGCCCCGGCUAACUCUGUGCCAGCAGCCGCGGUAAUACAGAGGGGGCAAGCGUUGUUCGGAAUUACUGGGCGUAAAGGGCGCGUAGGCGGCCUGUUAAGUCGAACGUGAAAUCCCCGGGCUCAACCCGGGAACUGCGUCCGAUACUGGCAGGCUUGAAUUCGGGAGAAGGAUGUGGAAUUCCANGUGUAGCGGUGAAAUGCGUAGAUAUCUGGAGGAACACCGGUGGCGAAGGCCG